GUGUCAGCCGCCGCGGUAAUACAGAGGGUGCAAGCGUUGUUCGGAAUUAUUGGGCGUAAAGCGCGUGUAGGCGGCGUGACAAGUCGGGUGUGAAAGCCCUCAGCUCAACUGAGGAAGUGCGCCCGAAACUGUCGUGCUUGAGUGCCGGAGAGGGUGGCGGAAUUCCCCAAGUAGAGGUGAAAUUCGUAGAUAUGGGGAGGAACACCGGUGGCGAAGGCGGCCACCUGGACGGUAACUGACGCUGAGACGCGAAAGCGUGGGGAGCAAACAGGAUUAGAUACCCUCGUAGUCC
RNAcentral lists this ribosomal RNA (292 nucleotides) under uncultured bacterium. RNAcentral describes it as "partial 16S ribosomal RNA". It matches the Rfam family "Bacterial small subunit ribosomal RNA", at positions 505 to 796 of the family's 1533-position model. The record is from RNAcentral.